Molecule: ribosomal RNA, 79 nt
Filed under: Escherichia coli
Lineage: Bacteria; Pseudomonadati; Pseudomonadota; Gammaproteobacteria; Enterobacterales; Enterobacteriaceae
Source: RNAcentral
GGCGGCCUUAGCGCGGUGGUCCCACCUGACCCCAUGCCGAACUCAGAAGUGAAACGCCGUAGCGCCGAUGGUAGUGGGA